CCCUUAGAUGUUCUGGGCUGCACGCGCGCUACACUGAACAGUUCAACAAGUCUUAACCUUGGCCGAUAGGUCUGGGUAAUCUUUGAACGCUGUUCGUGACUGGGAUAGACCUUUGCAAUUAUGGGUCUUCAACGAGGAAUUCCUAGUAAACGCAAGUCAUCAGCUUGCAUUGAUUACGUCCCUGCCCUUUGUACACACCGCCCGUCGCACCUACCGAUUGAAUGGUCCGGUGAAAUCUCGGGACGGCGGCUUGGUCGCUUGCGUCCGACUGCUGAAACUUGAUUAAACCAUAUCAUUUAGAGGAAGGUGAAGUCGUAACA
RNAcentral lists this ribosomal RNA (320 nucleotides) under uncultured eukaryote. Its description in RNAcentral is "partial 18S ribosomal RNA". It matches the Rfam family "Eukaryotic small subunit ribosomal RNA", at positions 1470 to 1796 of the family's 1831-position model. The record is from RNAcentral.